RNAcentral lists this ribosomal RNA (397 nucleotides) under uncultured bacterium. Its description in RNAcentral is "partial 16S ribosomal RNA". It matches the Rfam family "Bacterial small subunit ribosomal RNA", at positions 524 to 918 of the family's 1533-position model. The record is from RNAcentral.
UACGUAGGGUGGGAGGGUUUUCCGGAAUUACUGGGCGUAAAGAGCUCGGAGGUGGGUUGUCGCGUCGUCUGUGAAAUUCCGGGGCUUAACUCCGGGCGUGCAGGCGAUACGGGCAUAACUUGAGUACUGAAGGGGAGACUGGAAUUCCUGGUGUAGCGGUGAAAUGCGCAGAUAUCAGGAGGAACACCGGUGGCGAAGGCGGGUCUCUGGGCAGUAACUGACGCUGAGGAGCGAAAGCAUGGGUAGCGAACAGGAUUAGAUACCCUGGUAGUCCAUGCCGUAAACGGUGGGCGCUAGGUGUAGGGGUCUUCCACGACUUCUGUGCCGUAGCUAACGCAUUAAGCGCCCCGCCUGGGGAGUACGGCCGCAAGGCUAAAACUCAAAGGAAUUGACGGGG